RNAcentral lists this long non-coding RNA (672 nucleotides) under Homo sapiens (human). RNAcentral's name for it is "HSALNT0239682". Lineage: Eukaryota; Metazoa; Chordata; Mammalia; Primates; Hominidae. The record is from RNAcentral.
AGCAAGAGCCAGAGACGGAAAUACAGAGACGAAGAGAGCAAGAGCCAGAGACGGAAAUACAGAGACGAAGAGAGCAAGGACACUUUCUUUGCCACAGCCCAGCAGCCAAACGGCAGCGAACUCUGAUGUGGUUACAAGCUCCUCAACUUCUUGUUUGUUGGCCAACUUGGCUGCCAGAUGUUUGCUGAUUACCUACUAGAUGCCAGGAGCUGGGGGCAGCACAGAACUGAACAUAACAAGAAGGUCCUUGCCCUUAUGGAGCUUGUGUGCCCACAGGCAGAGGAGUGAAUAUUGUCUCUUUCUUUUGCAGCUCUGAGGUUUUGGAACUUAGAUAUUUUCUCUGCUUGAACCAUUGAGAAAUCCUUUUGGGUGAAGAUAGCAAGACCUGUGCUAGGGUUGGGGCUGGAGCUAGGGCCAGGCAGGAACCUACUAACCUGCUUGGGGCCACCUCCCUGGCCCUCCUGAGGGUGUUACCUCCUCAGAGGGCUGCUCCCCUUCUCCUGCUCCUACUCUUCCUCUUCCUCCUCUCCCCUCCUCUUCUUCAGCUGUUCUAUUUCCAAGCAGGCAGCUUAACUUAGGCCUCCUGGUUGGGCCUUUAAUUUGGAUUUAUUGCUGGCUGUGAUUGUAUGUUAAACAAACUCUAGGCGAUUAUUAAAAACAUGAUUAUUGCGG